UUAUAAAUUAUAAGAAAGAGUGUCUAGUUC
This 30-nucleotide non-coding RNA is filed under the name Rattus norvegicus (Norway rat). The record is from RNAcentral. Lineage: Eukaryota; Metazoa; Chordata; Mammalia; Rodentia; Muridae.